Molecule: small RNA, 233 nt
Filed under: Arabidopsis thaliana (thale cress)
Lineage: Eukaryota; Viridiplantae; Streptophyta; Magnoliopsida; Brassicales; Brassicaceae
Description: ATSL095050
Source: RNAcentral
AACAAAUUUAUGAGUAUAGACUAAUGAUAUUCAAGCAUAUUCCUAAUUUGAAACAACUCUAAAUCUUUAUGUCCUGAUUUAUUGCGAUUAGAAUAUUUUGUUUGCGUGUAGAAAGUUAGGGCUUACAAACAUGCGGUUGACACUAAAAAUAUGGUUGUUCGUUCCGUCUCAUUUCAUCAUCACCUAAAACUCGAUCUUGCAAAUACUAUACACAUAAGAAAUGACAAUAAAUU